CGCGGUGGUGCUUCUCGUCGUCGUCCGGGGCCAACAGCAGGCGCCCCCGGCGGCGGCGGUGCAGGCGCUAGGCGACGCUGCGGUAGCGGCGCAGGCUGCUCCGGUCGCUCCACUUCUUCCGCGAGCGGUACCGGCGCCGGCGGCCGCUGUGCCGGUCCCGAGGGAAGAACCGGCGCAAGAAGACGUCCGACGCGUCGCUCUACGAGCCGCUGCGGUGGAACCGCGACCUGCUGCCGCUGCUUCCGCGGCUGGACCGGCACUAGAACCGCCCGAACUCGUACCAGUAGCACCGAUACCAGCGGUAACUGCGGAUCGAGGGACCAACGAGCGAUGGGAGAGAGGGAGCGUUCUUUCUUCUUCGAGAGUGCGACCGUUUUUCCACCUACCUCCUCACCACACUCCACGCUCCCACACAUUACGCUACGGGAG
RNAcentral lists this ribosomal RNA (429 nucleotides) under Triticum aestivum (bread wheat). RNAcentral's name for it is "partial small subunit ribosomal RNA". Lineage: Eukaryota; Viridiplantae; Streptophyta; Magnoliopsida; Poales; Poaceae. The record is from RNAcentral.